This 78-nucleotide transfer RNA is filed under the name Ipomoea nil (Japanese morning glory). It matches the Rfam family "tRNA". Rfam says of the family: Transfer RNA (tRNA) molecules are approximately 80 nucleotides in length. Their secondary structure includes four short double-helical elements and three loops (D, anti-codon, and T loops). Lineage: Eukaryota; Viridiplantae; Streptophyta; Magnoliopsida; Solanales; Convolvulaceae. The record is from Rfam by way of RNAcentral.
GUCAAUAUGUCCGAGUGUUAUGGAGAUAGACUUGAAAUCUGUUGGCUUUGCCUGCGUAGGUUCAAUCCUGUGCUGACG